RNAcentral lists this ribosomal RNA (253 nucleotides) under uncultured bacterium. RNAcentral describes it as "partial 16S ribosomal RNA". It matches the Rfam family "Bacterial small subunit ribosomal RNA", at positions 524 to 776 of the family's 1533-position model. The record is from RNAcentral.
UACGAAGGGGGCUAGCGUUGUUCGGAUUUACUGGGCGUAAAGCGCGCGUAGGUGGAUAGUUAAGUGAGGGGUGAAAUCCCGAGGCUCAACCUCGGAACUGCCCUUCAUACUGGCUAUCUCGAGUUCGGGAGAGGUGAGUGGAAUUCCUAGUGUAGCAGUGAAAUGCGUAGAUAUUAGGAAGAACACCAGUGGCGAAGGCGGCUCACUGGCCCGAUACUGACACUGAGGUGCGAAAGCGUGGGGAGCAAACAGG